UGUGUAGGCGGUUGGAUAAGUGUGGUGUGAAAUCUCCCGGCUUAACUGGGAGGGUGCGCUACAAACUGUCUGACUAGAGUGUGGGAUAGGAGAGUGGAAUUCCUGGUGUAGCGGUGAAAUGCGUAGAUAUCAGGAGGAACACCGGUGGUGUAGACGGCUCUCUGGACCAUAACUGACGCUGAGACACGAAAGCGUGGGUAGCAAACAGGAUUAGAUACCCUGGUAGUCCACGCCCUAAACGAUGCAUAUUUGGUGUGGGUCAUUCAUUUGAUCCGUGCCGGAGCUAACGCGUUAAAUAUGCCGCCUGGGGAGUACAGUCGCAAGGCUGAA
This 330-nucleotide ribosomal RNA is filed under the name uncultured bacterium. RNAcentral's name for it is "bacterial SSU rRNA". It matches the Rfam family "Bacterial small subunit ribosomal RNA", at positions 568 to 898 of the family's 1533-position model. The record is from RNAcentral.